This 30-nucleotide non-coding RNA is filed under the name Mus musculus (house mouse). The record is from RNAcentral. Lineage: Eukaryota; Metazoa; Chordata; Mammalia; Rodentia; Muridae.
UUCUCUUUGGGUGAACCACUGCCGUGACUA